AUGGCCCAGUAUAUAUACGCCACCACCGCCCGCUGCUGCUGCAGCUCCGCACGCGCCCACCCCGCGAUCCCGCUCCAGGCUCCCGCACCAGCCCCGUCGCCGUCUCGAUCGCCGCUCCGGUGGAGGUCGGCCAUGGGCGCGAGCGAUCGCCUGGCGGUGGCCGCCGCCAAGCCGCGUCACGCGGCGCCGUGCGCGGCGACCGUGCUGGGCGAGCCGCUGCCGGCGUCCGACGACCACGGCCUCGUCCACCCCAGCCCCCACUUCGCCGCCCAGGCCCUUGUCUCCUCUCCGCAGCAGUACCUGGAGAUGUAUCAGCGGUCGAUUGACGAUCCUGCCGGGUUCUGGUCAGAGAUCGCUGAAACAUUCUACUGGAAGCAGAAGUGGAGCCCUGAGGAAGUCUGUACUGAGAACCUUGAUGUCACAAAGGGGCCGAUCAAGAUCGAAUGGUUUAAAGGGGGCAAAACUAACAUAUGCCACAAUGCCGUGGACCGCUACGUGGAAGCUGGGGACGGUGCGAAGAUUGCGAUGUAUUGGGAGGGGAAUGAGCCUGAUCAAGAUGGAAAGCUCACAUACUCAGAGCUCUUGGGUAAGGUUUGCCAGCUGGCCAAUUAUUUGAAGAGUGUCGGGGUUGAAAAAGGUGAGGCUGUGGUGAUCUACUUGCCGAUGCUGAUGGAGCUGCCUAUUGCAAUGCUUGCAUGCGCUCGCAUUGGUGCUGUCCACUCUGUCGUGUUUGCUGGCUUCUCCGCUGAUGCAAUAGCCCAGAGGAUCAUUGACUGCAAGCCUAAGGUUGUGAUUACAUGCAAUGCUGUGAAAAGGGGGCUGAAACUCAUCGCCCUCAAAGAUAUAGUAGAUGCGUCUCUGGUUGAAAGUGCAAAAAAUGAUGUCACAGUAGGCAUUUGUUUGACAUAUGAAAAUCAUUUGGCCAUGAAGAAAGAGGACACACAAUGGAUAGCUGGAAGAGAUGUUUGGUGGGAGGAUGUUGUGCCCAAUUUCCCAACUAGAUGUGAUGUGGAAUGGGUUGAUGCAGAGGAUCCAUUGUUUCUUCUAUACACUAGUGGCAGCACAGGAAAACCAAAGGGUGUACUGCAUACAACGGGGGGCUAUAUGGUAUAUGCCGCAACAACAUUUAAACAUGCAUUUGAUUACAAGCCAACAGACAUAUACUGGUGUACUGCAGACUGUGGCUGGAUUACUGGACAUAGUUAUGUGACUUAUGGUCCUCUCCUGAAUGGAGCAACAGUUCUCGUUUAUGAAGGGGCUCCAAACUACCCUGAUCCUGGUCGGUGUUGGGACAUUGUUGACAAAUACGGAGUGACAAUAUUUUAUACUGCACCAACACUUAUCCGUUCGCUCAUGCGUGAUGGUUCCGUGUAUGUUGAUCGGUACUCACGUAAGUCUCUCCGAGUUUUAGGAAGUGUGGGUGAGCCAAUUAAUCCAACUGCAUGGAGGUGGUUCUAUAAUGUUGUCGGUGACUCGAGAUGCCCGAUUACACCUUUACCUGGCGCUUGGCCUCAGAAACCAGGAUCUGCUACAUUUCCUUUCUUUGGUGUACAGCCAGUGAUUGUUGACGAGAAAGGGCGGGAAAUGCCCGGAGAAUGCAGUGGAUACCUUUGCAUAAAGAAGUCAUGGCCUGGAGCUUUCCGGACUCUGUAUGGAGAUAAGGACAGAUAUGAGACAACAUACUUCAAACCGUUUUCUGGCUAUUAUUUCUCUGGUGAUGGUUGUAGGAGGGACAAAGAUGGUUACCAUUGGCUGACCGGAAGAGUGGAUGAUGUUAUCAAUGUCAGUGGACACCGGAUUGGUACAGCAGAGGUUGAAUCUGCUCUUGUUUCACAUCCAAAAUGUGCCGAGGCUGCUGUUGUUGGAAUAGACCAUGAGGUUAAAGGUCAGGGAAUCUACGCAUUUGUAACUUUGGUGGAUGGUGUUCCUUACAGUGAUGAUCUACGAAAAAGCCUUAUUAUGGCGGUCCGCAGCCAGAUUGGCGCAUUUGCAGCACCUGACAAGAUCCACUGGGCACCGGGGCUCCCGAAGACACGGAGCGGCAAGAUCAUGCGAAGAAUAUUGCGGAAAAUUGCCUCCAGGCAGCUGGAUGAGCUUGGUGACACGAGCACGCUUGCUGACCCUGGUGUGGUCGACCAGCUGAUAUCGCUUAGCGAUAGUUAG
RNAcentral lists this ribosomal RNA (2163 nucleotides) under Triticum aestivum (bread wheat). Its description in RNAcentral is "partial small subunit ribosomal RNA". Lineage: Eukaryota; Viridiplantae; Streptophyta; Magnoliopsida; Poales; Poaceae. The record is from RNAcentral.